This 571-nucleotide long non-coding RNA is filed under the name Homo sapiens (human). RNAcentral's name for it is "HSALNT0392787". The record is from RNAcentral. Lineage: Eukaryota; Metazoa; Chordata; Mammalia; Primates; Hominidae.
GCCACCCUGGGCAGGCAGUGGAAGGUGGGGCCGCGCUGCCUCUGGUGCGCAGAGGCAGAGGCCGCCAUUGACCACCGAAUCGGCUUGGCUAGAACUCAAAGCCUUGUGCCUGGCUGUCAGUCCCUACCUCACCACGUUGACACAGACUGUGUGGCUUUCAGUGUACCUUUCCACGUAUUUUCCUGUCCAGUCAGAUGAGGAGAGGGAACAGUCUGAGAGAACCACGAAACUGCCAAACCCAGUGGGCCCGAAUAUUCCUUCAAGAUUUCAAGAAAGCCGACCUUGAGGACGGCCACGGGGCCAACUGCAGUAUGGACAAGUCGUUCUUGUAGUUGCACAGAUGGCCAUUGACAAAAACAGCCCUGCUUGGGUGACUCCUGAGCCCUGAUACCCGAAUGAGUAUGAUCAAGCGGUGAUGGACCUGGAUCCGGCUGUGGGAGUGUCCUGAUGAGCCCUGGGCCAGCGGAGAAUUCCUGGGCGUUUCCAAGAUGGCCGAAUAGGAACAGCUCCAGUCUAUGGCUCCCAGCAUGAGCGACGCAGAAGAUGGGUGAUUUCUGCAUUUCCAACUGAG